RNAcentral lists this non-coding RNA (24 nucleotides) under Arabidopsis thaliana (thale cress). Lineage: Eukaryota; Viridiplantae; Streptophyta; Magnoliopsida; Brassicales; Brassicaceae. The record is from RNAcentral.
CCGGAUAUGAAGCUUGAGAUUCGC